UGGAUGAACGCUAGCUACAGGCUUAACACAUGCAAGUCGAGGGGCAGCAUUUCAGUUUGCUUGCAAACUGGAGAUGGCGACCGGCGCACGGGUGAGUAACACGCAUCCAACCUGCCGAUAACUCGGGGAUAGCCUUUCGAAAGAAAGAUUAAUACCCGAUGGUAUAAUCAGACCGCAUGGUCUUGUUAUUAAAGAAUUUCGGUUAUCGAUGGGGAUGCGUUCCAUUAGGCAGUUGGUGAGGUAACGGCUCACCAAACCUUCGAUGGAUAGGGGUUCUGAGAGGAAGGUCCCCCACAUUGGAACUGAGACACGGUCCAAACUCCUACGGGAGGCAGCAGUGAGGAAUAUUGGUCAAUGGGCGCAGGCCUGAACCAGCCAAGUAGCGUGAAGGAUGACUGCCCUAUGGGUUGUAAACUUCUUUUAUAUGGGAAUAAAGUUUUCCACGUGUGGAAUUUUGUAUGUACCAUAUGAAUAAGGAUCGGCUAACUCCGUGCCAGCAGCCGCGGUAAUACGGAGGAUCCGAGCGUUAUCCGGAUUUAUUGGGUUUAAAGGGAGCGUAGGUGGACAGUUAAGUCAGUUGUGAAAGUUUGCGGCUCAACCGUAAAAUUGCAGUUGAUACUGGCUGUCUUGAGUACAGUAGAGGUGGGCGGAAUUCGUGGUGUAGCGGUGAAAUGCUUAGAUAUCACGAAGAACUCCGAUUGCGAAGGCAGCUCACUGGACUGCAACUGACACUGAUGCUCGAAAGUGUGGGUAUCAAACAGGAUUAGAUACCCUGGUAGUCCACACAGUAAACGAUGAAUACUCGCUGUUUGCGAUAUACAGUAAGCGGCCAAGCGAAAGCAUUAAGUAUUCCACCUGGGGAGUACGCCGGCAACGGUGAAACUCAAAGGAAUUGACGGGGGCCCGCACAAGCGGAGGAACAUGUGGUUUAAUUCGAUGAUACGCGAGGAACCUUACCCGGGCUUAAAUUGCAUUUGAAUAUAUUGGAAACAGUAUAGCCGUAAGGCAAAUGUGAAGGUGCUGCAUGGUUGUCGUCAGCUCGUGCCGUGAGGUGUCGGCUUAAGUGCCAUAACGAGCGCAACCCUUAUCUUUAGUUACUAACAGGUCAUGCUGAGGACUCUAGAGAGACUGCCGUCGUAAGAUGUGAGGAAGGUGGGGAUGACGUCAAAUCAGCACGGCCCUUACGUCCGGGGCUACACACGUGUUACAAUGGGGGGUACAGAAGGCAGCUACCUGGUGACAGGAUGCUAAUCCCAAAAGCCUCUCUCAGUUCGGAUCGAAGUCUGCAACCCGACUUCGUGAAGCUGGAUUCGCUAGUAAUCGCGCAUCAGCCAUGGCGCGGUGAAUACGUUCCCGGGCCUUGUACACACCGCCCGUCAAGCCAUGAAAGCCGGGGGUACCUAAAGUACGUAACCGCAAGGAGCGUCCUAGGGUAAAAC
Molecule: ribosomal RNA, 1439 nt
Filed under: uncultured organism
Description: SSU rRNA
Rfam family: Bacterial small subunit ribosomal RNA
Source: RNAcentral